CUACCGAUGAAGAGUCCCAAACUAGGACGAAACAACUGUCCAGUAC
Molecule: non-coding RNA, 46 nt
Organism: Trichobilharzia regenti
Lineage: Eukaryota; Metazoa; Platyhelminthes; Trematoda; Strigeidida; Schistosomatidae
Source: Rfam